GACGAACGCUGGAGGCGUGCUUAGCACAUGCAAGUCGAACGAUGAAAUGGAGCUUGCUCCAUGGAUUAGUGGCGAACGGGUGAGUAACACGUGAAUAACCUGCCCUUAAUUUUGGAAUAACCCAGGGAAACCUGGGCUAAUACCGGAUAAGUAAACCUGUGGCAUCACAUGGUUUUGGAAAGUUUUUCGAUUAAGGAUGGAUUCGCGGCCUAUCAGCUUGUUGGUGAGGUAAUGGCUCACCAAGGGGACGACGGGUAGCCGGCCUGAGAGGGGGAACGGCCACACUGGGACUGAGACACGGCCCAGACUCCUACGGGAGGCAGCAGUGGGGAAUAUUGCGCAAUGGACGAAAGUCUGACGCAGCGACGCCUCGUGAGGGACGAAGGUCUUCGGAUUGUAAACCUCUUUCAGCAGGGACGAAGCGAAAGUGACGGUACCUGCAGAAGAAGCACCGGCUAACUAUGUGCCAGCCGCCGCCGUAA
RNAcentral lists this ribosomal RNA (482 nucleotides) under uncultured bacterium. RNAcentral describes it as "partial 16S ribosomal RNA". It matches the Rfam family "Bacterial small subunit ribosomal RNA", at positions 28 to 523 of the family's 1533-position model. The record is from RNAcentral.